Molecule: transfer RNA, 65 nt
Filed under: Gammaproteobacteria bacterium
Lineage: Bacteria; Pseudomonadati; Pseudomonadota; Gammaproteobacteria
Also listed under: 1 other name
Description: tRNA-Glu
Source: RNAcentral
CCGCAGGUUGUCGUAUCCAGCUCUUUCAAGGCUGCAACACGGGUUCGAAUCCCGUUCGCGGUCCA